GGGAGUGGACUCUGCCUUAGUGGUAGAGCAUCCGCUUUGCAUGCGGAAGACUCCAGGUUCGAUCCCAAGCACUGCCA
Molecule: transfer RNA, 77 nt
Filed under: Sphaerodactylus townsendi
Lineage: Eukaryota; Metazoa; Chordata; Lepidosauria; Squamata; Sphaerodactylidae
Description: tRNA-Ala
Source: RNAcentral